This 300-nucleotide ribosomal RNA is filed under the name Triticum aestivum (bread wheat). RNAcentral describes it as "partial small subunit ribosomal RNA". Lineage: Eukaryota; Viridiplantae; Streptophyta; Magnoliopsida; Poales; Poaceae. The record is from RNAcentral.
AUGCUGGAAGGGAAGGCAACGGUGGAGGACACCGACAUGCCGGCCAAGAUGCAGCUGCAGGCCAUGUCGGCGGCGUCCAGGGCGCUCGACCGCUUCGACGUCCUCGACUGCUGGAGCAUCACGGCGCACAUCAAGAAGGAGUCCGACAUGAUCCAUGGCCCGGGGUGGCAGUGCGUGGUGGGCUGCAGCUUCGGCUGCUACUUCACGCACAGCAAGGGGAGCUUCAUAUACUUCAAGUUCGAGUUGCUCAGGUUCCUCGUCUUCAAAGGCAUGGCGGAUGAGCAACCGCUGCCGUGCUGA